GCGCGCAGCCGGGGAGUUAGCGGUGCCCUGAACCUGCAAUCCGCUAUAGCAGGGGUGAUGCCAAUCUGAGGACUGUUUCUUGUGGAGCUGCCCUCUAUAAGUGGCGUUGACGUUUGGGUCUUACGCAACAGAAACCUGUGAACCGUGUCAGGGCAGGAAUGCAGCAGCACUAAGCAGGAGCUUCUGUGUGCCGUGAGGGUGCCUGGGCUGAGUUAACUGUAGAGGUAACGUCUGUGAGUUCGUUUCGAGGUGCGGCGCGC
Molecule: signal recognition particle RNA, 260 nt
Filed under: Eubacteriales bacterium
Lineage: Bacteria; Bacillati; Bacillota; Clostridia; Eubacteriales
Description: signal recognition particle sRNA large type
Rfam family: Bacterial large signal recognition particle RNA
About the family: The signal recognition particle (SRP) is a universally conserved ribonucleoprotein involved in the co-translational targeting of proteins to membranes. Archaeal SRP consists of a 7S RNA and homologues of the eukaryotic SRP19 and SRP54 proteins.
Source: RNAcentral